UACGGGGGGAGCAAGCGUUGUUCGGAUUUACUGGGCGUAAAGGGCGCGUAGGCGGUCAGCACAAGUCAGUUGUGAAAUCUCCGGGCUUAACUCGGAAAGGUCAACUGAUACUGUGCGACUAGAGUGCAGAAGGGGCAACUGGAAUUCUCGGUGUAGCGGUGAAAUGCGUAGAUAUCGAGAGGAACACCUGCGGCGAAGGCGGGUUGCUGGGCUGACACUGACGCUGAUGCGCGAAAGCUAGGGGAGCAAACAGG
This 254-nucleotide ribosomal RNA is filed under the name uncultured bacterium. RNAcentral's name for it is "partial 16S ribosomal RNA". It matches the Rfam family "Bacterial small subunit ribosomal RNA", at positions 524 to 776 of the family's 1533-position model. The record is from RNAcentral.